Molecule: long non-coding RNA, 786 nt
Organism: Salvelinus namaycush (lake trout)
Lineage: Eukaryota; Metazoa; Chordata; Actinopteri; Salmoniformes; Salmonidae
Exons: 3
Source: RefSeq, a predicted model, not a curated record
CUGCUGUUGACCGUAGACCCACGUGAAAAUGGCACGUCAAACGUCAAAUUACGAAGUGCUGUUUGGAUAAAUAGUUGCACUGAUCUACUGUUUUUAUACUCUUCAAUCUCUUUGUGCCAAAAUGGGGGAUCAUGCAUAUUCCAUGAUCGUUCAGAAAGGGAAGGGGCUGCUCUACAGGCUGCUAAAGAUACCGGGUGCUGAGUUGAAACUCUCCUACACUAGCUCAAAGAUGGAGGGCAAAGAGAUUGAGAUCGACAACGACCUGAAACCGCUGCAGUUCUACUCCAUCGAAGACGGAGACAAGGUCCUUGUCUGCUGGUUGUGAUCAGCAAAGGUCCGGAUUGGUUGCCUGAUGACUCAAACUGAAUUUUUCCGCUUCCGUGGCAUAACGUUUGGCAAGGGGUUUGGGUAGCCAGGCAACCGGAUUGGAAGUUUAAGCGAUAUUCCGAAAUCCAUGAGAUAAAUGUACAGCACUAAAACUGGGACGAAAACACAGCGCAAUAUCUAUUCAGCCAGAGGAGACCAAUCGAUGUAGGAGAAGGAAACACUUGGGUUGUGUUCAUUUGGCACGAAACGGAAGAGAACUGUCCAAAACUAAGUGAAACGGGAAAGGAACAUCUGAACUUGUCCAAUAAGAGACCCUAGUGUCAUGUGCCCUUUAGAACACAACCCAAGUGUGCACUAUGUGAACAAUUUGUGUAUUUGUAUUUAUUAGGAUCGUAUGAAGAGCUUACAUCAUAAAUACAACAAUUAAUAAUGCAAUAAAAUAUUACAAAAUUACUCUUA